AUAUUAAUAAGCGGAGGAAAAGAAACUAACAAGGAUUCCCCUAGUAACGGCGAGUGAAGCGGGAAGAGCUCAACUUGAAAAUCGGCGUGCCAAGCGGCACUGUCGAGUUGUAGUCUAAAGAUGGCCUAUCAGCGAGUGACCCCGGUAUAAGUCCCUUGGAAUAGGGUAUCAUAGAGGGUGAGAAUCCCGUCUUUGACUGGGAGUUUGCCGCGUACGAUAGGUUGUCUACGAGUCGAGUUGUUUGGGAUUGCAACUCUAAAUGGGAGGUAAAUUUCUUCUAAAGCUAAAUAUCAGCGAGAGACCGAUAGCGCACAAGUA
This 318-nucleotide ribosomal RNA is filed under the name uncultured Gymnophrys. RNAcentral's name for it is "partial large subunit ribosomal RNA". It matches the Rfam family "Eukaryotic large subunit ribosomal RNA", at positions 40 to 350 of the family's 3401-position model. The record is from RNAcentral. Lineage: Eukaryota; Cercozoa.